GUGAUUUUUGGCCGACUUGUCCAGCUAAAUAAAUAAUUAAUAUGACAUAAAAUGUAAAGAAAUAUUACUAGAAAUGAAAUUUAAAAUGAGUAGUGAAGGAAAGGAAAGAAAAUGAAGAAAAAGAUCAAUUAUGGCAUCAUGGUGAUGUCAUUAAGGGAGUUGGACCAAUCACACUUAAGCCAUUGUUUGACUAACUAUUAAAAGAGACUAAAUAAGACCAAAAUAACAAAAUUUCAGCAGCCAUCUUCCUCACCCAAAAACGUUACAUUCUCUCCCAAAACCCUAUUCUUCCAUGGGAGCUUAAUGGAAGCUUGAGACAACCCACCAAAUCACCAUAAAACCUUUAGUCAUCUUCACAAAAAUUUGCCCUAGCACCUUGCUAAAGCUUUUGGCAGCCAAGAAGAAGAAAGAAAGUGAAGCUUUCUCAAGCUUGGAUUGGCAUACAACAAGGUUAGUGCACUAUAUACCUAAAACUCCUUAAUUUCAUGAAUGAGCACUUGAAUUUAGUAAGAAAAUGUCAUUUAAAUGAACAAAAUUCAUGUGUGUGUGUACAUGAAUUUUUUGGCUGCCCUAGUGGAGAAAUAGUAAGGAGUGUUUUUGAUGAGCUUGAAGUGAACUAGAAUUAAGUUGAAAGUUUAUAAACAUAAGAAUAAUAAUUUGGUAUGCUAACUAAGGCAUUAUGUAGGAAACAUAAUGUGAAGCUAGGGUUUUGGAGAGUGAAAUUUGGUUUUGGCUUAUGAAGUGGUAAGUGAACAUUAUAAGGGUCAAUUAGUG
RNAcentral lists this unclassified non-coding RNA (774 nucleotides) under Hevea brasiliensis (rubber tree). Lineage: Eukaryota; Viridiplantae; Streptophyta; Magnoliopsida; Malpighiales; Euphorbiaceae. The record is from RNAcentral.